RNAcentral lists this ribosomal RNA (483 nucleotides) under uncultured bacterium. Its description in RNAcentral is "partial 16S ribosomal RNA". It matches the Rfam family "Bacterial small subunit ribosomal RNA", at positions 28 to 523 of the family's 1533-position model. The record is from RNAcentral.
AAUGAACGUUGGCGGCGUGGAUUAGGCAUGCAAGUCGCGCGAUAAAUCCCGCAAGGGAUCGAAGGCGGCGUAAGGGAGAGUAACACGUGGAUUAUCUGCCCUCGAGUCCGGGAUAGCCGCGGGAAACUGCGGGUAAUACCGGAUGACAUCUCCGGAUCAAAGGUGUGAUUCCGCUCGAGGAUGAGUCCGCGUCCUAUCAGCUAGUUGGUGGGGUAACGGCCUACCAAGGCAAUAACGGGUACUGGGUGUGAGAGCACGACCCAGCUCACUGGGACUGAGACACUGGCCAGACACCUACGGGUGGCUGCAGUCGAGGAUCUUCGGCAAUGGGCGCAAGCCUGACCGGGCGACGCCGCGUGCGGGAUGAAGGCCUUCGGGUUGUAAACCGCUGUCAGUGGGGAGGAAAUUCCCUGGGGUUCUCCCCAGGGAUUGACCUAUCUUCAGAGGAAGUACGGGCUAAGUUCGUGCCAGCCGCCGCCGCCG